This 253-nucleotide ribosomal RNA is filed under the name uncultured bacterium. RNAcentral describes it as "partial 16S ribosomal RNA". It matches the Rfam family "Bacterial small subunit ribosomal RNA", at positions 524 to 776 of the family's 1533-position model. The record is from RNAcentral.
UACGUAGGGGGCGAGCGUUGUCCGGAAUUAUUGGGCGUAAAGAGCGUGUAGGCUGUUCGGUAAGUCUGCCGUGAAAACCUGAGGCUCAACCUCGGGCGUGCGGUGGAUACUGCCGGGCUAGAGGACGGUAGAGGCGAGUGGAAUUCCUGGUGUAGCGGUGAAAUGCGCAGAUAUCAGGAGGAACACCGGUGGCGAAGGCGGCAUCCUGGACCGGUAUUGACGCUGAGGCGCGAAAGCCAGGGGAGCAAACGGG